This 38-nucleotide non-coding RNA is filed under the name Herpetosiphon aurantiacus DSM 785. The record is from RNAcentral. Lineage: Bacteria; Bacillati; Chloroflexota; Chloroflexia; Herpetosiphonales; Herpetosiphonaceae.
CUUCAAAUAACCAAAAUCCUCGGAAUCGGAUUCAACAG